AGAGAUGGGCGCUCCCUUCGGGGCUGGGUGACAGGUGGUGCAUGGCUGUCGUCAGCUCGUGCCGUGAGAUGUUGGGUUAAGUCCCGCAACGAGCGCAACCCUUGCCUCGUGUUACUAACAGGUCAAGCUGAGGACUCUCGGGGGACUGCCGGCGUCAAGCCGGAGGAAGGUGGGGACGACGUCAAGUCUUCAUGGCCCUUACGCCCAGGGCUACACACGUGCUACAAUGGCCAGGACAGAGGGCUGCGAGACCGCAAGGUGGAGCGAAUCCCAGCAACCUGGCCUAAGUUCGGAUUGCGGGCUGCAACUCGCCCGCAUGAAGCCGGAAUCGCUAGUAAUCGCGGAUCAGCUACGCCGCGGUGAAUACGUUCCCGGGCCUUGUACACACCGA
This 391-nucleotide ribosomal RNA is filed under the name uncultured bacterium. RNAcentral describes it as "bacterial SSU rRNA". It matches the Rfam family "Bacterial small subunit ribosomal RNA", at positions 1004 to 1393 of the family's 1533-position model. The record is from RNAcentral.